GAUGAAGAACGCAGCGAAAUGCGAUAAGUAAUGUGAAUUGCAGAAUUCAGUGAAUCAUCGAAUCCUUGAACGCACAUUGCGCCCGCCAGUAUUCUGGCGGGCAUGCCUGUUCGAGCGUCAUUUCAACCCUCAAGCCCCCGGGCUUGGUGUUGGGGAUCGGCGUGCCCUCGCGGCGCGCCGUCCCCUAAAUCUAGUGGCGGUCUCGCUGUAGCUUCCUCUGCGUAGUAGCAACACUCGCACUGGAUCGCAGCGCGGCCACGCCGUUAAACCCCCCACUUCUGAAAGUUUGACCUCGGAUCAGGUAGGAAUACCCGCUGAACUUAAGCAUAUCAAUAAGCGGAGGA
RNAcentral lists this unclassified non-coding RNA (344 nucleotides) under soil metagenome. Its description in RNAcentral is "partial contains 5.8S ribosomal RNA, internal transcribed spacer 2, and large subunit ribosomal RNA". The stretch from base 1 to 120 matches the Rfam family "5.8S ribosomal RNA", at positions 35 to 154 of the family's 154-position model. The record is from RNAcentral.